GCAAACUUGGUCAUUUAGAGGAAGUAAAAGUCGUAACAAGGUAACCGUAGGUGAACCUGCGGUUGGAUCAUUAAUAAAUAUUUGGUCUCGUGCCAAAUCAACAUUUGUGUGCACCAUUGUCUGUCCUUGGUAGUUCGAGUUGCGCUCUUGAGGGACUCAACAUCCCGCGAGCGCCUACCCUUAUGCUUGCGUUCGGGUUGGGCUACCGCCAUUUUGAAAAACCUAACUGUUUUGUUUUUUAUGUCUGAAUGAAAAGUUAAUCUUAUGAUUAAUGAUUUUUAUACAACUUUUGACAACGGAUCUCUUGGCUCUCGCAUCGAUGAAGAACGCAGC
RNAcentral lists this unclassified non-coding RNA (333 nucleotides) under uncultured fungus. Its description in RNAcentral is "partial contains small subunit ribosomal RNA, internal transcribed spacer 1, and 5.8S ribosomal RNA". The stretch from base 1 to 73 matches the Rfam family "Eukaryotic small subunit ribosomal RNA", at positions 1759 to 1831 of the family's 1831-position model. Lineage: Eukaryota; Fungi. The record is from RNAcentral.